RNAcentral lists this ribosomal RNA (485 nucleotides) under Escherichia sp. Its description in RNAcentral is "bacterial SSU rRNA". It matches the Rfam family "Bacterial small subunit ribosomal RNA", at positions 271 to 749 of the family's 1533-position model. The record is from RNAcentral. Lineage: Bacteria; Pseudomonadati; Pseudomonadota; Gammaproteobacteria; Enterobacterales; Enterobacteriaceae.
AGGCGACGAUCCCUAGCUGGUCUGAGAGGAUGACCAGCCACACUGGAACUGAGACACGGUCCAGACUCCUACGGGAGGCAGCAGUGGGGAAUAUUGCACAAUGGGCGCAAGCCUGAUGCAGCCAUGCCGCGUGUAUGAAGAAGGCCUUCGGGUUGUAAAGUACUUUCAGCGGGGAGGAAGGGAGUAAAGUUAAUACCUUUGCUCAUUGACGUUACCCGCAGAAGAAGCACCGGCUAACUCCGUGCCAGCAGCCGCGGUAAUACGGAGGGUGCAAGCGUUAAUCGGAAUUACUGGGCGUAAAGCGCACGCAGGCGGUUUGUUAAGUCAGAUGUGAAAUCCCCGGGCUCAACCUGGGAACUGCAUCUGAUACUGGCAAGCUUGAGUCUCGUAGAGGGGGGUAGAAUUCCAGGUGUAGCGGUGAAAUGCGUAGAGAUCUGGAGGAAUACCCGGUGGCGAAGGCGGCCCCCUGACGAAGACUACGUCAG